GUCAAGCCCACUCUAUCUAUCCCCAUGCUAGCCGAUGCACUCUGUUGGGUCUCAACGAGACCUACACUCCGGUAUUCAAGCCAACUCCAUGUCAUGGAGCAAGAGGCUCCAUCCAUGAGGAAGCUGUCCAUCACUUUCCUCUCAGCAAGAGGAAGAUGCUCACAAAACUCCAGGGGUCCUGCACCAUUAUUUCAGAUGAGUAAGGCUCAUUUCCAGCGAAGUAUGAACUGGUCCUUCUGGUAGACCAUGAUGACUUUCUGUCCCUCCCCCAUGAUGAGAGGUUGUUACCUACAGGUCACAGAUCAAUGGGAAGCCCUAGAUCAGGCUGUUUGGUGAGAGAAGACAUGUGAUCAGGAACUAGAGACAUUACAGAAAACCACAACUAAAUACAUUGCAGAGAUCAACGAUCGUGGAGGGAUCAAUCCCAUUGGAAACAUCUACAACACAAAAAUCCUGCACCAAAGGCUCAUGAAACAACAUGGAAGAGGGGAAAGAUUGUGACCCCUGUGAAAAGUUCACUGGAUCUCCAAAGGUCACAACCCACAGGUAGAGAACCACUGCUCUAAGGUAUCUGCAGAGGAGUUGCUGCUGCGUGAGGAAGCUACUUGUUGAGUUAGCUCUGUGUGCCACGCAGUCACUGAUGGUAUUAAGCUGGGCAAUAGCAUCCUCACUGUUUGGGUGGGAGCUCCACCUCAACCCCUGGCACCCUGGCAUCCCUAUACCCAAAGAGUCUGGAAUGUUCUGGUGGAAAAUCCACCUCAACUUCCCCCAACCCGGCCCUUCAAAGCCCUCCAAACACAGCUCCUCCCCCAGAGAGGCUCAAGACCACUCCCACAGGGUAUAUAAGCUGCACCCCAGAAAACAGACACGUGGUUCUUCUGGUCUCUCAUCCCCAUCUCCUCUCUGUGGAGCCAGGAGUCACCCAGGAACGCUUUACCCA
Peromyscus maniculatus bairdii (prairie deer mouse) is the source of this 940-nucleotide non-coding RNA. The record is from RefSeq and is a predicted model, not a curated record. Lineage: Eukaryota; Metazoa; Chordata; Mammalia; Rodentia; Cricetidae.